GGGGCAGCACGAUGUAGCAAUACAUUGGUGGCGACCGGCGCACGGGUGAGUAACGCGUAUGCAACCUACCUAUCAGAGGGGAAUAACCCGGCGAAAGUCGGACUAAUACCGCAUAAAACAGGGGUUCCACAUGGAAAUAUUUGUUAAAGAAUUAUCGCUGAUAGAUGGGCAUGCGUUCCAUUAGAUAGUUGGUGAGGUAACGGCUCACCAAGUCCACGAUGGAUAGGGGUUCUGAGAGGAAGGUCCCCCACACUGGUACUGAGACACGGACCAGACUCCUACGGGAGGCAGCAGUGAGGAAUAUUGGUCAAUGGGCGAGAGCCUGAACCAGCCAAGUCGCGUGAAGGAUGAAGGAUCUAUGGUUUGUAAACUUCUUUUAUAUGGGAAUAAAGUGAGAAACGUGUUCCUUUUUGUAUGUACCAUAUGAAUAAGCAUCGGCUAACUCCGUGCCAGCAGCCGCGGUAAUACGGAGGAUGCGAGCGUUAUCCGGAUUUAUUGGGUUUAAAGGGUGCGUAGGUGGUUAAUUAAGUCAGCGGUGAAAGUUUGUGGCUCAACCAUAAAAUUGCCGUUGAAACUGGUUGACUUGAGUAUAUUUGAGGUAGGCGGAAUGCGUGGUGUAGCGGUGAAAUGCAUAGAUAUCACGCAGAACUCCGAUUGCGAAGGCAGCUUACUAAACUAUAACUGACACUGAAGCACGAAAGCGUGGGGAUCAAACAGGAUUAGAUACCCUGGUAGUCCACGCAGUAAACGAUGAUUACUAGCUGUUUGCGAUACACAGUAAGCGGCACAGCGAAAGCGUUAAGUAAUCCACCUGGGGAGUACGCCGGCAACGGUGAAACUCAAAGGAAUUGACGGGGGCC
Molecule: ribosomal RNA, 860 nt
Filed under: uncultured bacterium
Lineage: Bacteria
Description: bacterial SSU rRNA
Rfam family: Bacterial small subunit ribosomal RNA
Source: RNAcentral